GCCGGUGUGUCGGAAUGGCAGACGAUGCAGACUCAAAAUCUGUUGCUUGAGAGAGCGUGUGGGUUCGAGUCCCACCACCGGCA
RNAcentral lists this transfer RNA (83 nucleotides) under Clostridia bacterium. Its description in RNAcentral is "tRNA-Leu". It matches the Rfam family "tRNA". Rfam says of the family: Transfer RNA (tRNA) molecules are approximately 80 nucleotides in length. The record is from RNAcentral. Lineage: Bacteria; Bacillati; Bacillota; Clostridia.